CACGUAGGCACCAAGCGUUGUCCGGAAUUAUUGGGCGUAAAGAGCUUGUAGGCGGUUUGUCGCGUCUGCUGUGAAAAUCCGGGGCUCAACCCCGGACUUGCAGUGGGUACGGGCAGACUAGAGUGUGGUAGGGGAGACUGGAAUUCCUGGUGUAGCGGUGAAAUGCGCAGAUAUCAGGAGGAACACCAGUGGCGAAGGCGGCUCACUGGCCCGGUACUGACGCUGAGGUGCGAAAGCGUGGGGAGCAAACAGG
This 253-nucleotide ribosomal RNA is filed under the name uncultured bacterium. RNAcentral describes it as "partial 16S ribosomal RNA". It matches the Rfam family "Bacterial small subunit ribosomal RNA", at positions 524 to 776 of the family's 1533-position model. The record is from RNAcentral.